UGGGGGAUAUUGCACAAUGGGCGAAAGCCUGAUGCAGCGACGCCGCGUGGGGGAUGAAUGCCUUCGGGUUGUAAACUUCUUUUGCUCUGAACAAGGCAUGCCUUUGGGGUGUGUUGAGUGUAGGGGUUGAUUAGCGCCGGCUAACUACGUGCCAGCAGCCGCGGUAAUACGUAGGGCGCGAGCGUUGUCCGGAAUUAUUGGGCGUAAAGGGCUUGUAGGUGGCUGGUUGCGUCUGUCGUGAAAGCUCAUGGCUUAACUGUGGGUUUGCGGUGGGUACGGGCUGGCUUGAGUGCAGUAGGGGAGGCUGGAAUUCCUGGUGUAGCGGUGGAAUGCGCAGAUAUCAGGAGGAAUACCGGUGGCGAAGGCGGGUCUCUGGGCUGUUACUGACGCUGAGGAGCGAAAGCGUGGGGAGCGAACAGG
RNAcentral lists this ribosomal RNA (420 nucleotides) under Fusobacteriota bacterium. RNAcentral describes it as "Fusobacteria bacterium partial 16S ribosomal RNA". It matches the Rfam family "Bacterial small subunit ribosomal RNA", at positions 355 to 776 of the family's 1533-position model. The record is from RNAcentral. Lineage: Bacteria; Fusobacteriati; Fusobacteriota.